Molecule: ribosomal RNA, 468 nt
Filed under: uncultured bacterium
Lineage: Bacteria
Description: partial 16S ribosomal RNA
Rfam family: Bacterial small subunit ribosomal RNA
Source: RNAcentral
GACGAACGCUGGCGGCGUGCUUAACACAUGCAAGUCGAACGGAAAGGCCCUGCUUUUGUGGGGUGCUCGAGUGGCGAACGGGUGAGUAACACGUGAGUAACCUGCCCUUGACUUUGGGAUAACUUCAGGAAACUGGGGCUAAUACCGGAUAGGAGCUCCUGCUGCAUGGUGGGGGUUGGAAAGUUUCGGCGGUUGGGGAUGGACUCGCGGCUUAUCAGCUUGUUGGUGGGGUAGUGGCUUACCAAGGCUUUGACGGGUAGCCGGCCUGGGAGGGUGACCGGCCACAUGGGGACUGAGAGAGGGACCAGACUCCUACGGGAGGCAGCAGUGGGGAAUAUUGCACAAUGGGCGGAAGCCUGAGGCAGCAACGCCGCGUGCGUGAUGACGGCCUUCGGGUUGUAAACCGCUUUCGCAUGUGACGAAGCGUGAGUGACGGUAAUGGGUAAAGAAGCACCGGCUAACUACGUG